Molecule: transfer RNA, 92 nt
Filed under: Escherichia coli
Lineage: Bacteria; Pseudomonadati; Pseudomonadota; Gammaproteobacteria; Enterobacterales; Enterobacteriaceae
Also listed under: 12 other names
Description: tRNA-???(gcta)
Rfam family: tRNA
About the family: Transfer RNA (tRNA) molecules are approximately 80 nucleotides in length.
Source: RNAcentral
GGUGAGGUGGCCGAGAGGCUGAAGGCGCUCCCUGCUAAGGGAGUAUGCGGUCAAAAGCUGCAUCCGGGGUUCGAAUCCCCGCCUCACCGCCA